AGGCUGGGAUUUGGGAAGAGAUUGGGAUUUGGGAAAGGCUAGGACUUGAGGCUGGGAUUUGGGAAGAGGUUGGGAUUUGGGAAGAGGCUGGGAUUUGGAAAAGGAUGGGAUUUGAGGCUGGGAUUCAGGAAGAGAUUGGGAUUUGGGAAAGCUUGGGACUUGAGGUUGGGAUUUGGGAAGACGUUGGGAUCUGGGAAGAGGCUGGGACUUGGGAAGAGGGUGGGAUUUGGGAAGAGGGUGGGUCUUGGGAAGAGAUUAGGAUUUGGGAAGAGGUUGGGAUUUGGUAAGAGGCUGGGAUUUGGGAAGAGGGUGGGAUUUGGGAAGAGGCUGGGAUUUGGGAAGAGGCUGGGACUUGGGAAGAGAUUAGGAUUUGGGAAGAGGCUGGGAUUUGGGAAGAGACUGGGACUUGGGAAGAAGCUGGGAUUUGGGAAGAGGCUGGGACUUGAGGUUGGGAUUCGGGAAGAGGCUGGGAUUUGGGAAAAGGCUGGGACUUGGAAAAGGUUGGGAUUUAGGAAGAGGUUGGGAUUUGGGAAAAGGCUGAGAUCUGGGAAAAGGUUGGGACUUGGGAAGACGCUGGGACUUGGAAAAGGUUGGGAUUUAGGAAGAGGUUGGGAUUUCGGAAAUGGUUGAGAUCUGGGAAAAGGCUGAGAUCUGGGAAAAGGCUGGGACUUGGGAAGAGACUGGGAUUUGGGAAAAGGUUGGAAUUUGGGAAGAGGCUGGGACUUGGGAAGAGGCUGGGAUUCAGGACUUUGGGAGCAGCCAUUCCAAGGAACCCCAGGGAUUCUGGGAGCAGCCACCCCAGGGUUCAGGAGCAGCCAUCCCAAGGACUCCCAGGAUUCAGGA
Molecule: long non-coding RNA, 843 nt
Organism: Oenanthe melanoleuca
Lineage: Eukaryota; Metazoa; Chordata; Aves; Passeriformes; Muscicapidae
Exons: 3
Source: RefSeq, a predicted model, not a curated record